This 256-nucleotide ribosomal RNA is filed under the name uncultured bacterium. RNAcentral's name for it is "partial 16S ribosomal RNA". It matches the Rfam family "Bacterial small subunit ribosomal RNA", at positions 524 to 776 of the family's 1533-position model. The record is from RNAcentral.
UACAGAGGGUGCAAGCGUUGUUCGGAAUUAUUGGGCGUAAAGGGAGUGUAGGCGGUUUGGUAAGUCUUCUGUGAAAAUCUGCGGGCUUAGCCUGCAAAGUGCAGAGGAAACUGUCAGACUUGAGUAUUGGAGAGGGCAGGGAAUACCCAGUGUAGAGGUGAAAAUUCGUAGAGAUUGGGUGGAACACCAGUGGCGAAGGCGCCUGCCUGGCUGAUUACUGACGCUGAGACUACGAAAGCAUGGGGGAGCAAACAGG